This 2675-nucleotide long non-coding RNA is filed under the name Nicotiana benthamiana. RNAcentral's name for it is "long non-coding RNA (NBEN_LNC040171)". Lineage: Eukaryota; Viridiplantae; Streptophyta; Magnoliopsida; Solanales; Solanaceae. The record is from RNAcentral.
CGUGGUUCAAAACUCGCGUGCCUGUUCAAUUCAACUCAAUGAACAUGUCCUCAAUCAACUAUUAAGACUACAGUGACAUUUAUUUUUACUAAUAUCCUAAUAUGUUCAAACUAUAGCUUUUAGAACAGGUCCACAUUUCUAUACAAGCGAUGGAAACCUGGAAUGAAUCAGUCAUGACCUGCUAUAGUAGUCUAGAUCUAACUAUUACAUACAACAAUCAAAUGGCUUACAAUAAACUCAAAACACUUAACUAGACUCGAAACAGUCCAGUCCAAGUUAUACAGUCCAAUUUUAUGUGUGUACAAACCAAAAUAAAACUACAUUAACCUAUUACAUAUCAUUUAAGGUUCAUUUGACCAUUUAACAUCGCAAUCCAAACAAGUACAGUUCAAGGAGCAGGUGUAGGACACUUUUCAUUUCAUUUUCACUCAAAAGCUACACCAAGUGAAGUUCAUAUAUGUACCUGGAAUUACAAUGAAACAAAGGAAGAGGUCAGCAGUGACAAUAUAGCAGUCGAAACUCAAUAGUAAAACCACAGCAGCAGGACUAAUUUGGAAGCCAAACUUGCAUCAACCUAACAUAAACCAAACAUAGCCUUUGAUUGAACCCAAAUACACUCGAAAUUGAAACCAUUAAACUUCUAAAGUAUUAACACCUCAAACACAUGUUUAGAUCAUUCUCAUCUUAUUUAGCCUAGAUAUUCAAAUUGACAGCUAGAAAUUGAAACUAAUAUGAGGGAAAAACUUGAAUAACACAGUAUUUAUGGGAAUAUUUUGAAGCUUUUGGGUCUAAAAGAGCUUUCCAACUCUAAAUUGCAGAUCUAGCUUUUGGAGCUUAAAAUUCAAACUUUCAGAGAUUUUCAUAACUCUAAACCUCUGGGAAUCUGGAAAUUUUAGGAAAGCUUAAAGGAUUUUUCAGACUUUUUGGGAGUUUUUAGGGGUCAAAAGCUUGGGAAUUUUCCGGAAUUUCUAACUUUUGGAAUCUUUCAGAAUCUGGAAUUUUUUGGGUUUUUCUCAAGAUUUUUCAUACUUCCAAAACUUGUGGAAGAAUGCAAUGGUUUGCUCUUUUUAUAUGCUAAACUUAUGGCAACUCUUUCUAUUUUGUUUUACCCAUUAGUCCCUCCCUUAUUUUUCAGAUUUACUCAAUUAGUCCUUUUAACCCUGACUUGUGCCUCAAGUUAUAUCCAUAAAAGCCUGAAAUUCAAAUUUGAACCCUAUUCUAAAAUGUUCUAGAUUCAACUACAACAUUGUGUUCUAUUUAGGAAUACCUACACUACCCCUUAUUCAAUUUGACAUUUACUAACCUAGUACUCACUACACCCCAACCACUUUUACCUUGGUUUAAAUUAUCAGCUAUAACCAAACAGUCAUAACAUCUGAAUUAAUGGACUCAAAUAACUCUAAUUAGGAACAGAAUUAACAAACUACAGUUCAAAUCGGCAAGUACUACUAGUAAGUCUAAAAUUCCACAUAAGAAUUAGUUAAAUGCCAUUGAAUCAUGAAUCAGAACUAACUUAACAUAAACACAAUCAUCUUAAAACCCUAAAUUAAUCCUAAAACGUGCCAGAAUUUCAAAUUUAAAAUGAAACAAAUCAGAACAAGACUAAACUAAAAAUCAAAACAAGCAUGGAAUAAAAGAACAUUAAUUAUAAAAACACAAUUAAGCUUACAAAAAGGAAACAGAACUCAUGAUAAUCAGGAAAAGAAGAAAAGAAAGGAAGAAAGAUUAAGCAUAAAACUUACAGAUUUAAGACUAGUGUGAUUGCUCUCGAAUUUGGUCCCCAAGUAAUGUUGUGUGUUUGUUCUGUAUAAGAACAAACCCUCAACAUUACUUUUGAACCGAUUUGAACUCCAAUUCUCCAGAGAAAUUUGACAGCUUUGAGAAGACUCCUAGAUCUAAAAUUCGAGGGGCUCAGCUUGGUUAUGAAUGAUUUUGGCUUCGGAUUUGGUAAGAGGGGGUUGAGGAUAGUACAGGGUGUGAAUUUGGUUGGGUUUGGAGGAUUAUAGGGUUGACCACCUUUCUUUGAUUCGAUAUUUGAAUUGCUUGGUUGGGAUUUGAAGGAGGAGGAGUUUGGAUUUGGAAAGGGGAAGGAGAGAGGAGGCCAUGGUGUUUUUUGGGUGGCUAUUGGAGCCAGCGCCGUCGUGGAUGGCAGAACAACCAACCUUUUGAUCGACGAUUUGAGAAGAAGGGUAUUCGAAGGUUGAUACUUGGGGCGUUGGAAAGAGAAGGAGGAGGGGAAUCAGGGGUGUAUUUUUGGAGUUGAUAGGAGAUUGGCCGCAGGCGGUGGACGACGAAAGGACGGUGGCUUUAGGGUGGCGUUACACCGGCGUUAUCAGGGUAUUUUUGGAAAUGGCUUGGGGGUGGGGGGGUGUAUCCGACAUUUAUAUAGCCCAUAACCUCAUUAGUUCUCGUCCGCCAGAUGCAAAAGAAUUGAUGUUGUGAUUGAUCUUGAGAAAAACGAGGUCGUUUUGAUCAUGGGAUGCUCCGGGUAAAAUUUUGGCUGGAUGGGUAUUUGAACGGGUUGGGGGGUUUGGGCUAGGAAGUUGUAUCCGAAACAGGCCCAAUUUCUUUCUUUUUAUUUUUUUUCUUCUUUUUCUCUUUUUAAUUAAUUAAUUCUUCAAAUAUAAAAAUCAGAUUUAAAUUCUAUGAUUAAAAAUAAUUAGUUUCAAAAAAAG